RNAcentral lists this long non-coding RNA (335 nucleotides) under Homo sapiens (human). RNAcentral describes it as "non-protein coding lnc-PRKAB1-2:1". The record is from RNAcentral. Lineage: Eukaryota; Metazoa; Chordata; Mammalia; Primates; Hominidae.
GUGAAAACACAAAAUGUGUUCAUGAGGCCUGGCCGGUGCACACAGAGCACACAGCACGCCUCUUGCCUGGUGGUCCUCUUCAGAGUGAUGCUUAUACCACAUCACACAUCGUGUGCUAUAAGGAUGGGUGAAGUGAAAGUGGAGAAGAGGCAAGCAUUAGAAACGGCAACAAAGGCCUCCCAGCUGCACCGCCAAGACCCUUCAGUCGAGAGCUUUAAUUUAACUGUGCUCCAUCUCAUUUGGCCCAGGGAUGGAGGCCAAACAAGGUAACUGCUCCCUUUCACAGGCUAGGAGAUGACUGCCUCUUACAAUUAAACAAUCAUAGCACAUUUGAC